AGGUUGUAACAAGGUUUCCGUAGGUGAACCUGCGGAAGGAUUAUUAUCGUGAGGCUUCGGCCUUAUCAAGAUAGAACCCUUGCCUUUAUAGUACCUUCCUGUUUGCCUCAGCAAAUUGCCGUAACUAGCACACCAAAUGGGGUCCCAAAAAAUUAAAGCCUUUGUUUAUAAGUCAAUAGUCUGAAAAGCAAAUCAAAAAGUAAAA
This 205-nucleotide unclassified non-coding RNA is filed under the name plant metagenome. RNAcentral describes it as "partial contains small subunit ribosomal RNA and internal transcribed spacer 1". The stretch from base 1 to 46 matches the Rfam family "Eukaryotic small subunit ribosomal RNA", at positions 1786 to 1831 of the family's 1831-position model. The record is from RNAcentral.